AGCGAACGCUGGCGGCAGGCCUAACACAUGCAAGUCGAGCGCCCGUAGCAAUACGGGAGCGGCAGACGGGUGAGUAACGCGUGGGAACAUACCCUUCGGUUCGGAAUAACUCAGGGAAACUUGAGCUAAUACCGGAUACGUCCGUGAGGAGAAAGAUUUAUCGCCGAAGGAUUGGCCCGCGUAAGAUUAGCUAGUUGGUGAGGUAACGGCUCACCAAGGCUAUGAUCUUUAGCNGUUCUGAGAGGAAGAUCAGCCACACUGGGACUGAGACACGGCCCAGACUCCUACGGGAGGCAGCAGGUGGGGAAUUAUUGGACAAUGGGCGCAAGCCUGAUCCAGCCAUGCCGCGUGAGUGAU
RNAcentral lists this ribosomal RNA (357 nucleotides) under uncultured bacterium. RNAcentral's name for it is "bacterial SSU rRNA". It matches the Rfam family "Bacterial small subunit ribosomal RNA", at positions 29 to 409 of the family's 1533-position model. The record is from RNAcentral.